AAAUGAUUAGUUAAAAUUUCAUAACAUUAAUUUGUCAAAUUAGAAUUAUUUUCUUUAAUAUCAUUUA
RNAcentral lists this transfer RNA (67 nucleotides) under Mollitrichosiphum tenuicorpus. RNAcentral describes it as "tRNA-Asp". The record is from RNAcentral. Lineage: Eukaryota; Metazoa; Arthropoda; Insecta; Hemiptera; Aphididae.